Molecule: ribosomal RNA, 212 nt
Filed under: uncultured soil bacterium
Lineage: Bacteria
Description: partial 16S ribosomal RNA
Rfam family: Bacterial small subunit ribosomal RNA
Source: RNAcentral
AGAACGAACGCUGGCGGCAUGCCUAAUACAUGCAAGUCGAACGAACACUUCGGUGUUAGUGGCGCACGGGUGCGUAACGCGUGGGAAUCUGCCCUUGGGUUCGGAAUAACAGUUGGAAACGACUGCUAAUACCGGAUGAUGACGAAAGUCCAAAGAUUUAUCGCCCAGGGAUGAGCCCGCGUAGGAUUAGCUAGUUGGUGAGGUAAAGGCUC